This 1325-nucleotide long non-coding RNA is filed under the name Marmota monax (woodchuck). Lineage: Eukaryota; Metazoa; Chordata; Mammalia; Rodentia; Sciuridae. The record is from RNAcentral.
UUUUACUCUCUUGAAGACAGAGGAAAUCAGCUUCUCUGGGAAUACACUUGGCAGCUAGCUGAGAGUCUAUUUGGAACACCUGUUGAAAGGAUCAUGCUACAAAAAGGUGAAGAAGGAUGAGAAGGAUAUUAAGUUGAAGGGGAUGUGGUCAGCGUGUUUGGAAACUUGUUUUAUCUACAACUUCAAUUUGGAGAGCCCAUGGGGAAAAACCAGAAAUGUGGAGAUAAUAAAGAACAGUCAAGGUAGUCACAGUGCUGUGGCCUGUGUAUCAGUGACUUGGAAGCUCUGAUGGCAGACAACCUGGAUGCCUCUGACAUUCUAGCUGUCAAUAGAGGAAAGUGACAUCAUGGAUUUAAAGAAUAGAGAAACUGCAGAGAUCAGGAUUAAGAGUUCACAAAAACAAUCUUGGUAGGAUCAUAGAAGCAAGAGAUGCAAUGCAUAUUAAAAAAGAAAUACUCUUCCUGUGAUCCUUAAUUUUCAAGGAGAAAUGUCAGCUCUCAAAAUUGUAGGGAAAGAUGUGAUUAUUUCCAGCAGUGUCGCAAUGAUGUUUUUGAGUAACGAACAGAACAAAGAUGGCUUGCUCUUGCCUGGGGUGAGGGACUCAGAGCCAGAAUGCUGAAGGGUCAUCUACUUGCACAAUAGAGUAAAUAAUGGAAUUGGAGAGGAGAGGAAAGUGUGCAGUCCUCAAGAAAUGGGAAUGCUAGAAGAUUGUAGGCUGAUGACUCCCAAUAUUUAGGGAAUAUAUGUUAUGAUAAAACAUAAAAAGCAAGACUGUGGGAGGAAAGAAGAGUUGACUAUGAUGGCUAUGAGUAAAUAAUCUUGGAAUCUCUUCCUUACCUAGGUGGAAGAACAACUGGAGUGGCAGUGAAAAUUUAACUAUUCCCAGUUGUCUAUGAGAGAGAGCAGAUAAUAUAAAAUAGAGAAGCUCUUUCUUUUUACUUCUAUGAUUCCUUAAGCCAGAAAAAAACAACUGUUGGUUUAAAAACAACAUAAUAAGCCUAGUCCUUUCACAAGACUGUCACUAUUUUGCCUAUUAUUAUCAAAAUACUUUACUUCUGAGGUUAAAACUCAUUAGGUCUCAAGGUUCUUAUUUCUUUAAUACCAUGAUUUAUAAUUAUUUUAAAAACUAUGACCUGUUUUAGUGUCUGUAAAACUUAUUAAGGAAUUAAAAUAUUUUUGAAAAAGGACCACAAAUGCCUUAGAAUGUCAUCCACAGUUUAUAGAAAAUUAUCGGUUCAUCUAAAACUUAAGACAACAGCUCCUAUAUCAAAAUGUGGGAAUAGAUUGGAAUUGGAGGUGUGUCCAACACUAAACAUGUAUCUGUC